UUGAGCGGCUGCAGGUUGUGC
Molecule: unclassified non-coding RNA, 21 nt
Filed under: Chlamydomonas reinhardtii
Lineage: Eukaryota; Viridiplantae; Chlorophyta; Chlorophyceae; Chlamydomonadales; Chlamydomonadaceae
Description: small RNA Cre_3902
Source: RNAcentral